Molecule: ribosomal RNA, 921 nt
Filed under: uncultured archaeon
Lineage: Archaea
Description: bacterial SSU rRNA
Rfam family: Archaeal small subunit ribosomal RNA
Source: RNAcentral
UUCCGGGUUGAUCCCGCCGGAGACUACUGGCUAUCAGGGUUCGGUUAAGCCAUGCGAGUCGAGAGGUGUAAGACCUCGGCGCACUGCUCAGUAACACGUAGCUAACUUACCCUAAAGUGGAGGAUAACCUUGGGAAACUGAGAACAAUACUCCAUAGAUGAUUGAUGCUGGAAAGCGCUUUCAUUGAAAGGUAACGCUUUAGGAUAGGGCUGCGGCCUAUCAGCCUGUUGUUGGGGUAAAAGCCCAACAAAGCUAUGACGGGUACGGGUCAUGAGAGUGAUUGCCCGGAGAUGGAUUCUGAGACAUGAAUCCAGGCCCUACGGGGCGCAGCAGGCGCGAAAACUUCUCAAUGGGCGAAAGCCUGAAGAGGGAACCUUGAGUGAUAUCGGCUAAGCCGGUAUCUUUUCUUUACUGUAAACAAGUAGAGGAAUAAGUGGUGGGCAAGACGGUUGCCAGCCGCCGCGGUAAUAACCGCGCCACGAGUUGUAGUCACGAUUAUUGGGUCUAAAGCAUCCGUAGCUGGUUUGACAAGUCUUCGGUGAAAUCCGACAGUAAACUGUUGGGCGUGCCGAAGAUACUAUCAGACUAGAGACUGGGAGAGGUCUGGAGUACUUCGGAGGUAGGGGUAAAAUCCUUUAAUCUCCGAGGGACUACCUGUGGCGAAGGCGCCAGACUAGAACAGAUCUGACAGUGAGGGAUGAAAGCUAGGGGAGCGAUCGGGAUUANAUACCCCNGGUAGUCCUAGCUGUAAACGAUGCCCNCUNGGGGGUNACAAAUCUUANCGAAUCUGUUGUGCCNUAANUGAANACNUUAAANCGGGCCCCCUGGGGGGAGUACCAACCNCCAAGGNUGNAANCUUAAGGGAAUUGGGCGGGGGGANCCCCUACCAGGGGGGGGGGGCUGGGGUUCAAUUNGAAUUCA